RNAcentral lists this unclassified non-coding RNA (831 nucleotides) under Hevea brasiliensis (rubber tree). Lineage: Eukaryota; Viridiplantae; Streptophyta; Magnoliopsida; Malpighiales; Euphorbiaceae. The record is from RNAcentral.
CUUAAAUUGAAGCUCUUGAUAUGAUUGAUGGUCGUGGAUCGUUUAGGGGAUUCCUAGUUUGGCCAAGAUCUAGCCAAAAAUUCGCAAAGGCUGUUUUUCUUCUCCCUUCGAUCUACAUGAUUUCAGAGACUGUUGGUGAUAAGGCUAGUCGAAAAAGAUGUCCCACAUCGAGAUGCAUCGAAUGGGAGUGGUGGCGUGGAUGGAUGAUGGCUCGAACGACUGGUUUAUCCUAGCGGGUCCAAGGGUCGACUUACCACGUUUCGCAAGAUUUCAAUGUUCUCUGGCGGGUUCUUAACUUUUGUCUGGGAGGCUUGCUGGGGAAGAGGAAGUGCAUUGAGGAUGAUAGGCGAUUAUGGGUGUGGCUGGAAAGGGAAAGCUGAAAGGGGGAGAAUCGGGAGGAGAGAGACUGCGUGGCGUGAGGCAGAGGGAAGAAAAAGCUAAGGGAGUCAUAUCAUAACUUUACGUUUAUUUGUGCAAAAUUACAUUUUGGUGCAGCCUAAAACUUUUAUUUAAAGAGGCCCAAAUACUUUUCAAUUAAGCCCCUGAACUUAGUUUCUUCAUAUUUGUUUAAUUUGUCAAAACGAUACCGGCCAGAUUUAACAUGAAAAUAAAAAUAAUUAAAUCCAUCAAAUUUCAACAAAUUUUUUUAAAAUCAGUGAUAUUUAAAUCUAAAGUUCUCUUGUUUAAAACAAAAUAAAUUAUAAAAAUUCGAUACAUUACAGAUAAUACUCAACUAAUCUCUCAUGUUUUAUAAAAAGAAAAAAAAAUCAUAAGUUCAACCUUUAUCAUUUUACUAUGACUUAGUUAAACAAAAUAAACCUUUACUUUAAG